RNAcentral lists this ribosomal RNA (225 nucleotides) under uncultured bacterium. RNAcentral describes it as "partial 16S ribosomal RNA". It matches the Rfam family "Bacterial small subunit ribosomal RNA", at positions 1267 to 1500 of the family's 1533-position model. The record is from RNAcentral.
GCGGAACCCGAAAACCUGUCUCAGUUCGGAUUGGAGUCUGCAACUCGACUCUAUGAAGCUGGAUUCGCUAGUAAUCGCGCAUCAGCCACGGCGCGGUGAAUACGUUCCCGGGCCUUGUACACACCGCCCGUCAAGCCAUGGAAGCCGGGAGUGCCUGAAGUGCGUGACCGCAAGGAACGCCCUAGGGUAAAACCGGUGACUGGGGCUAAGUCGUAACAAGGUACC